GUCGUCAGAACCAAGGCCUUCUGUCAGAGAACCGAGCAAGCGUCCCAGUCCUCGAAGGUGACUCUGCGGAAGAACAGCUUCCGACAGAAACUUCGGAACAGAUUCAAGAACUGUCGAAAGCCACUGAGCAUUGAGCAACGCCGUCAUCGACACGGAAAGACGAGCCAGGGGCAUCGAUGUGAAAAAGCGUGCGGCAGCUGAAGAGGGGAUGCCGGGGAUGUUUCCCCAAAACGAAGAAGUCGAAGCUAGACAUCUGCACCGAAACCGCCAAGUUCAGUGCCAAGCUAAAGCACACCGAUGUCACUCACAAGACAUCUGUUCUCAAAGAUUCCUUCGAGGUUCGGCGGAUAUGCCUCACGAGCAACCGAAACCGGAAGACUGGCGAGGAGAUGAAGGAGAUAUUCCCGGAUAUGUACAGCGAAGCUGCCGUGUGGACUGACUUGGGAAUGAUCAUGGGGCUCGAGGAGGACGUGAAGGAGCAUGUCCUGCACAAAAUCAGACAUACCGCGAAGAAGUACUGCCCAGACGAUGAUAAACGUGGAGCCGGCCGACAAAGACGACGACGAGCUGCUAGCUCUACUUGCCUAUGGUUGUGGAACAACCAUUGGCACCUUGGCGGAUCCGAGAAACGGGGUUCGUCAGGCAGGUGAGGAACUAUCGGUGGACGGUGUGGUGGUCUGCCAACUGCCGGCCACCAGGUUGGAGACCGUGGCCCUAAUGACGGCCGCCCACGCUGUCUUCUACACAAAGUUCACGGGGACCUGCAGGGCCCUGCAUUCGAGAUUCUUUACCGGAGUGUGGGAUUCGAUGUAAACCUAUAGGCUUAUCACAGAAGGUGUGGGAGGUUACCCAGGUAGUGUAGAACCAGCAUCGGAGAUGCCCACUUCGAAUGACUGGCGACCUGUAGCUCACCUGUGGUUCAAGUGACUCGUGACUUGUGGCUCACCUGUGGCUCAAGUGACUCGCAACGUGUGGCUCACACUGCUGGAGCCUCUGAUUAUGACUAAUUCAGCUGCGGCGGUCUCAGUACGCCAAUGAGUCUCAGUACGUCUUUCAUAGCCCAGAUCACGCUCGUUUUAUAUGCCAUCCGUGGCGGUGGUUCUGUGCGUAGAUGUUAUUCGUUAGCCUCAGUGUUAACCAUAACGCCCUUGUGAGUUGUGACCUUGAACG
This is a long non-coding RNA of Amphibalanus amphitrite, 1170 nucleotides long. RefSeq lists it as uncharacterized. The record is from RefSeq and is a predicted model, not a curated record. The transcript has 4 exons. NCBI's taxonomy places the organism in Eukaryota, Metazoa, Arthropoda, Thecostraca, Balanomorpha, Balanidae.